GACGAACGCUGGCGGCGUGCUUAACACAUGCAAGUCGAACGGAAAGGCCUCUUUCGGGGGGUACUCGAGUGGCGAACGGGUGAGUAACACGUGAGUAACCUGCCCUUGACUUUGGGAUAACUUCAGGAAACUGGGGCUAAUACCGGAUAGGAGCUCCUGCUGCAUGGUGGGGGUUGGAAAGUUUCGGCGGUUGGGGAUGGACUCGCGGCUUAUCAGCUUGUUGGUGGGGUAGUGGCUUACCAAGGCUUUGACGGGUAGCCGGCCUGAGAGGGUGACCGGCCACAUUGGGACUGGGAUACGGCCCAGACUCCUACGGGAGGCAGCAGUGGGGGAUGUUGCACAAUGGGUGGGAGCCUGAUGCAGCAACGCCGUGUGCGGGAUGACGGCCUUCGGGUUGUAAACCGCUUUCGCUCAUGACGAAGCUUUGUGUGACGGUAGUGGGUAAAGAAGCACCGGCUAACUACGUG
Molecule: ribosomal RNA, 467 nt
Filed under: uncultured bacterium
Lineage: Bacteria
Description: partial 16S ribosomal RNA
Rfam family: Bacterial small subunit ribosomal RNA
Source: RNAcentral